Molecule: long non-coding RNA, 636 nt
Organism: Ananas comosus (pineapple)
Lineage: Eukaryota; Viridiplantae; Streptophyta; Magnoliopsida; Poales; Bromeliaceae
Exons: 2
Source: RefSeq, a predicted model, not a curated record
CUUCCACAGGCAAAUUGCUUCAUUUUACCAGAACUUGAGUAACUGCCUUGUAGCCUCGUCGAACCAUCCGCCUCUCCAAGAUUUGCUUUGGUUUUGCCAAAAAUCGCCCUCCAUUAUCGGCAACAGGUACAAGAGGGGAGAUGGAACUCCCUGGAGCCGGGCUUUGUUUAAGAAAGGACACAUGAAAGCAACAAGCGGUAGGCUACCGAUCCGAUCUUUGCGACUACCUCAAACGGUCCAUAAUAUCGUGACGUGAGCUUAACAUUCUUCUUUACAGCGAUGGUCAACUGUCGGUAAGGUUGCAAUUUGAGAAAAAAGGGCACCGGUGAUUGGGAAAAUUUGCGAAGUAGCAUCGAAAUUUUGAGGCCGAUGGAGUAUCGGAAUUGAAGAAGCCGCAGCAAAAGCCAUGAUUGGAAAACAAACUUGCGGCCACCUUUUCUCCAUUCACCAUAAUUAACUUACAUGUAAUUAAUUUACAUGCAUGUGAGGGGAUUUGUCGAACCUCAUGGUCUUUCUUUCAAAUAUUGCAUGGUGAACGAGUAUAGUAAAUGCCAAUAAGUUACUAUUGUUGCUAAUGAUGUAUUUAAAGAUGAUCGCCAUUCUUUGUUUAUGAAACUUCUGUCUCUAUUGUUACAA